AUUCUCAGAGACUUUUUCAUUAGCAUUAAAUUUACUUUCUUACUUCUGAACAUAAAAGUUUUCUUCUAAGGACUUUAUGAUGAAAUGGAACAUUCAUUUAUGCUCAGGGUUUUGAGAUAGCAGAAACAGCAGUAAAACAGGCAGCCAAGCCAUAAAAGGAAACUGGCACUCAUUUUAUUAUCAUCUAAUAAUAUAAAUACAAAUGCAGACAAGCUCUGCCUUCAAGGAACUUACCAAUUUGAGGAAUCUAACUGGUGUCCGAGAAGAUGUGUUUGACCUAUGGUGCCAGCCUUCAGUUUCUCAGAAGACAUAUGGGACCCAGAUAAAUCAGACAUUGAAUGCGCUGACGAGAGUCGCUGAGGACCCAAGAGAAAAGGCUUUUUUGGUUUGGAUUUCAUCUGUAUUUCACCACUUGAAAAUUCACUAUUGGCAUCGGGCAUAACCAACCCAGACAUCCUCUAAAGGAGGAGAUACAGAAGUUCUCUUCCCAGGCCCACUCAAAGGGUUCUGGCUCAGACCCUUUUUCCCCAUUCCUUAAGAGAGAAAAAAGACAUAUAUUUUCAAGGUAUAGACUCCCAUCAAGGCACACUGACCCUGAAAAAUGGCUGAGCUAAAAUAAAAGC
RNAcentral lists this long non-coding RNA (623 nucleotides) under Homo sapiens (human). RNAcentral's name for it is "HSALNT0168735". The record is from RNAcentral. Lineage: Eukaryota; Metazoa; Chordata; Mammalia; Primates; Hominidae.